Molecule: transfer RNA, 74 nt
Filed under: Prevotella sp.
Lineage: Bacteria; Pseudomonadati; Bacteroidota; Bacteroidia; Bacteroidales; Prevotellaceae
Description: tRNA-Cys
Rfam family: tRNA
About the family: Transfer RNA (tRNA) molecules are approximately 80 nucleotides in length.
Source: RNAcentral
GUGAGAGUGCCCGAGUGGUUCAAGGGGCCGGUCUGCAAAACCGGUACUCGUCGGUUCAAAUCCAACCUCUCACU